Molecule: long non-coding RNA, 829 nt
Organism: Brassica oleracea var. oleracea
Lineage: Eukaryota; Viridiplantae; Streptophyta; Magnoliopsida; Brassicales; Brassicaceae
Exons: 3
Source: RefSeq, a predicted model, not a curated record
CACAUGUCCUCUCUCAGAAUUUCUUUGUGCUGAGUAAAACCCAAAUCUGAAGUAACUCCUUAUGAUAUAAAACACCAUAUUCUCUCUUCUGGUCGUCCAUAACCUGCAAGAAAAACCAGAGAAAAAUUGUGAGAGAUUGAGAGAAAAAUAAGAGAAAAAUCAAGAGAAAAUUUCUGGUGAUUUAAUAUUCAACCUCAGACCACAGCUAGGACGUUGUGGAAGAAGAAGAUGAGAUAUCCAGAAUAAACCCUAGCUCUUGUUCUGUUUCUGAUCUGAACCGAACCUUGAUCUCUCUUUUUAAUCGGUUCAGCCGUGAGCUAAGCUUGGAGGAGAGCACCAUCUGAGAUCAUCUAACCGUGAAUUCUUAUGGUUUGAGUUCAGAUGGUCAAAGAGGGUAGUUGGACCAGUCGGAUCACGACUUAUCCUCAUUUUGUUUUAGGAGUGAUCAGCAAGUGGUGAACGUUCAGUUGAGUUCGAGUCUAGUCUUCUUUAGCCAAUCUCAGGCACAGGGGGGUAACCUAAGAAUUGGUUGAAUGGUGGAACCAAGCUUAAAUCGGAUCGACCAAAGAUGUGGCGGAUUGGUCGAUAUGGCCGGAUUAUGACUUGAUAACCUGAAACAAAGGAAAACGAACGAGAUUAUGAUGAUAAUAACAAUAACAGGAAUAAUAAAAUGAAUGAAAGGGGAUAUAUAUGGCAGAAUCAAGCUGCUGGAUGUGUAUCACUUUCAGCUUGAUUAGAAGAUGGACCGAAGUGGAUUUGCGGAUGAAGGUUUGAUUGAAUCUCUCAGUCUGAUGGUGUGAUGGAACAUUGUGAUUGACUCUCUGAAUCU